GUGGUGGUUAUGGAUCUGCUCAGGGUGGAAGUGGGUGAGGAAGACCGUGACUGCAGGGCUGGGCUUAUCAACAACCAGGAGCAACAGUAAGCCACACUGCACCUCCCCGUGCCAACCAACCGCCGCUGUCUGGCAGGAUUUUACCAACUAUUAUAUGAUACGACCCUUGGGAGAUCCUGGGUAAAAACCCAACGCAGACUGAGCGACAUCAGCUGUCACUUUCGCCAAACUGAAUGAUACACAUCUCAGGAGUCUGAUCACGAUUGACAGCUAUGACUGGC
Cyprinus carpio carpio is the source of this 281-nucleotide long non-coding RNA. The record is from Ensembl. NCBI's taxonomy places the organism in Eukaryota, Metazoa, Chordata, Actinopteri, Cypriniformes, Cyprinidae.